This is a small nucleolar RNA of Malania oleifera, 106 nucleotides long. The record is from RefSeq and is a predicted model, not a curated record. NCBI's taxonomy places the organism in Eukaryota, Viridiplantae, Streptophyta, Magnoliopsida, Santalales, Ximeniaceae.
ACCUGAUGAUGUGGGCAUUUAUGGAGUAGGUCCCUAAAGCAUUCCCAAGUCUUGAAAAAGAGUUCCACAUCCAUCUAUGAAAAGCUUGUGAUGACUCUCUGAAGUU